UACGUAGGGUACGAGCGUUGUCCGGAAUUAUUGGGCGUAAAGAGCUCGUAGGCGGCUUGUCGCGUCUGCCGUGAAAACCCAGGGCUCAACUCUGGGCGUGCGGUGGGUACGGGCAGGCUAGAGUGCGGUAGGGGAGAUUGGAAUUCCUGGUGUAGCGGUGGAAUGCGCAGAUAUCAGGAGGAACACCGAUGGCGAAGGCAGAUCUCUGGGCCGUAACUGACGCUGAGGAGCGAAAGCAUGGGGAGCGAACAGG
RNAcentral lists this ribosomal RNA (253 nucleotides) under uncultured bacterium. RNAcentral describes it as "partial 16S ribosomal RNA". It matches the Rfam family "Bacterial small subunit ribosomal RNA", at positions 524 to 776 of the family's 1533-position model. The record is from RNAcentral.